AGGAAUAUUGGUCAAUGGACGAGAGUCUGAACCAGCCAAGUAGCGUGAAGGAUGACUGCCCUAUGGGUUGUAAACUUCUUUUAUACGGGAAUAAAGUGGUCCACGUGUGGACUUUUGUAUGUACCGUAUGAAUAAGGAUCGGCUAACUCCGUGCCAGCAGCCGCGGUAAUACGGAGGAUCCGAGCGUUAUCCGGAUUUAUUGGGUUUAAAGGGAGCGUAGGUGGACAGUUAAGUCAGUUGUGAAAGUUUGCGGCUCAACCGUAAAAUUGCAGUUGAUACUGGCUGUCUUGAGUACAGUAGAGGUGGGCGGAAUUCGUGGUGUAGCGGUGAAAUGCUUAGAUAUCACGAAGAACUCCGAUUGCGAAGGCAGCUCACUAGACUGUUACUGACACUGAUGCUCGAAAGUGUGGGUAUCAAACAGGAUUAGAUACCCUGGUAGUCCACACAGUAAACGAUGAAUACUCGCUGUUUGCGAUAUACAGUAAGCGGCCAAGCGAAAGCAUUAAGUAUUCCACCUGGGGAGUACGCCGGCAACGGUGAAACUCAAAGGAAUUGACGGGGGCCCGCACAAGCGGAGGAACAUGUGGUUUAAUUCGAUGAUACGCGAGGAACCUUACCCGGGCUUAAAUUGCAUUUGAAUAUGUAGGAAACUAUAUAGCCGCAAGGCAAAUGUGAAGGUGCUGCAUGGUUGUCGUCAGCUCGUGCCGUGAGGUGUCGGCUUAAGUGCCAUAACGAGCGCAACCCUUAUCUUCAGUUACUAACAGGUCAUGCUGAGGACUCUGGAGAAACUGCCGUCGUAAGAUGUGAGGAAGGUGGGGAUGACGUCAAAUCAGCACGGCCCUUACGUCCGGGGCUACACACGUGUUACAAUGGGGGGUACAGAAGGCAGCUACCUGGUGACAGGAUGCUAAUCCCAAAAACCUCUCUCAGUUCGGAUCGAAGUCUGCAACCCGACUUCGUGAAGCUGGAUUCGCUAGUAAUCGCGCAUCAGCCAUGGCGCGGUGAAUACGUUCCCG
This 1016-nucleotide ribosomal RNA is filed under the name uncultured bacterium. Its description in RNAcentral is "bacterial SSU rRNA". It matches the Rfam family "Bacterial small subunit ribosomal RNA", at positions 357 to 1376 of the family's 1533-position model. The record is from RNAcentral.